This 87-nucleotide transfer RNA is filed under the name Acidimicrobiia bacterium. RNAcentral describes it as "tRNA-Leu". It matches the Rfam family "tRNA". From Rfam's summary of the family: Transfer RNA (tRNA) molecules are approximately 80 nucleotides in length. The record is from RNAcentral. Lineage: Bacteria; Bacillati; Actinomycetota; Acidimicrobiia.
GCCCGGGUGACGUAAUUUGGCAGCCGUGGCGGACUUAAAAUCCGCUGCUCCGAGAGGAGCGUGUGGGUUCAAAUCCCACCCCGGGCA